This 292-nucleotide ribosomal RNA is filed under the name uncultured bacterium. RNAcentral's name for it is "partial 16S ribosomal RNA". It matches the Rfam family "Bacterial small subunit ribosomal RNA", at positions 505 to 796 of the family's 1533-position model. The record is from RNAcentral.
GUGUCAGCAGCCGCGGUAACACGUAGGGGACGAGCGUUGUCCGGAUUCAUUGGGCGUAAAGCGCGCGUAGGCGGCUCGGAAAGUCGGGCGUGAAAUGCCGGGGCUCAACCCCGGGACUGCGUCCGAUACUUCCGAGCUGGAGGUAGGUAGGGGAGAUCGGAAUUCCUGGUGUAGCGGUGAAAUGCGCAGAUAUCAGGAGGAACACCGGUGGCGAAGGCGGAUCUCUGGGCCUUACCUGACGCUGAGGCGCGAAAGCUAGGGGAGCGAACAGGAUUAGAUACCCUGGUAGUCC